This 518-nucleotide ribosomal RNA is filed under the name uncultured bacterium. RNAcentral describes it as "bacterial SSU rRNA". It matches the Rfam family "Bacterial small subunit ribosomal RNA", at positions 992 to 1509 of the family's 1533-position model. The record is from RNAcentral.
AGAACUUAGCAGAGAUGCUUUGGUGCCUUCGGGAACUCUGAGACAGGUGCUGCAUGGCUGUCGUCAGCUCGUGUUGUGAAAUGGUUGGGUUAAGUCCCGCAACGAGCGCAACCCUUAUCCUUUGUUGCCAGCGGUCCGGCCGGGAACUCAAAGGAGACUGCCAGUGAUAAACUGGAGGAAGGUGGGGAUGACGUCAAGUCAUCAUGGCCCUUACGAGUAGGGCUACACACGUGCUACAAUGGCGCAUACAAAGAGAAGCGACCUCGCGAGAGCAAGCGGACCUCAUAAAGUGCGUCGUAGUCCGGAUUGGAGUCUGCAACUCGACUCCAUGAAGUCGGAAUCGCUAGUAAUCGUAGAUCAGAAUGCUACGGUGAAUACGUUCCCGGGCCUUGUACACACCGCCCGUCACACCAUGGGAGUGGGUUGCAAAAGAAGUAGGUAGCUUAACCUUCGGGAGGGCGCUUACCACUUUGUGAUUCAUGACUGGGGUGAAGUCGUAACAAGGUAGGCGUAGCGAG